This is a long non-coding RNA of Drosophila biarmipes, 633 nucleotides long. RefSeq lists it as uncharacterized. The transcript has 3 exons. The record is from RefSeq and is a predicted model, not a curated record. NCBI's taxonomy places the organism in Eukaryota, Metazoa, Arthropoda, Insecta, Diptera, Drosophilidae.
CACCAACUCCAAACAUAGACAACAAAUGUAGAUAACCUGGCUUCGCAUGUCCCGCCUUUACUCGGUCAUGCGUCCACUUCUAGACAGUCUCCUGUCUCUCAUUCACUGUGACUACGAUGGGUUCGACGUUCUACGCCCGCCCACAGUCCAAACAGCUGGUUUCCAAUGUCUUUUUAAUGCCACAUUCCCUGUGUAGAUGCCGGCUAGUCAUCGACCGUCCCAGGGAGGGGAACAACCAACAAUGUUGUCUACGCAGCAGACACCAAAAAAAAAAAACAUAAUGGAAAUUCAAAACUCGGACAACGGCAAUCUUUACGACGGAUUUUUCUUGAAUAUCUGGACUGGACAACAUAGAUCUUAUCUUGGUCCUGGAGUCCCUUCCAACCAUGAGUGUAUCCUUCGACGUUUUUUGGACACCUCUUUUGGACACAUGUCCCAAUUCUGUUUUGUGGGUCGUGCUACCUCGCCUAACUUAUCUCACCCCAACACGAAUUUCUUUGCACAACACUUCAUUUUCUUUUCACAUUAUAAUUCAGAACUACACCUUAAAUUUUAACAUUUAAUAAUAAUAAUAAUAAUCCUACCUACGGUACCGAACUUUAACAGGGAGUACAUGUAUAUAUGAAUCAAUAA